GAUUCCUUAGCUCAGUUGGUAGAGCACAUCCCUUUUAAGGAUGGGGUCCUGGGUUCGAGCCCCAGAGGGAUCA
This 73-nucleotide transfer RNA is filed under the name Bacteroidota bacterium. RNAcentral's name for it is "Bacteroidetes bacterium (hot springs metagenome) tRNA-Lys". It matches the Rfam family "tRNA". Rfam says of the family: Transfer RNA (tRNA) molecules are approximately 80 nucleotides in length. Their secondary structure includes four short double-helical elements and three loops (D, anti-codon, and T loops). Lineage: Bacteria; Pseudomonadati; Bacteroidota. The record is from RNAcentral. RNAcentral also lists the same sequence under 2 other names.